This 456-nucleotide ribosomal RNA is filed under the name uncultured bacterium. Its description in RNAcentral is "bacterial SSU rRNA". It matches the Rfam family "Bacterial small subunit ribosomal RNA", at positions 28 to 473 of the family's 1533-position model. The record is from RNAcentral.
GAUGAACGCUAGCGAUAGGCUUAACACAUGCAAGUCGAGGGGCAGCAUGGUCUUAGCUUGCUAAGACUGAUGGCGACCGGCGCACGGGUGCGUAACGCGUAUGCAACUUGCCUCACAGAGGGGGAUAACCCGUCGAAAGACGGACUAAUACCGCGUACACUUGGGAUAGGGCAUCCUAACCCAAGGAAAUGAAAUUCGCUGUGAGAUAGGCAUGCGUCCCAUUAGCUAGUUGGUGAGGUAACGGCUCACCAAGGCGACGAUGGGUAGGGGAACUGAGAGGUUGAACCCCCACACUGGUACUGAGACACGGACCAGACUCCUACGGGAGGCAGCAGUGAGGAAUAUUGGUCAAUGGGCGAGAGCCUGAACCAGCCAAGUCGCGUGAAGGAUGACUGUCUUAUGGAUUGUAAACUUCUUUUAUACGGGAAUAACAAGAGUCACGUGUGACUCCCUGCA